GUUAUUAUUACCUGAGACCCUGAAAGGAAGCACUAAAGAAAUGAAGACAGAGGAAUACCAGGAGAGAAAGGAGGUCCAGUUAGACCUAAAGGUGGGCAAGAAGAAGAAGAAGAGGAGUUUGGAUGCUUCAUCUCUGCUGAGACCCAGUGCCUGGCACUGAAGGUGCUCAGGAAAUACCUUCUGAAUGAUCGGAAGCCCCUGCCAUCUGCUAAACUGGAUCUAUGAUGACAGAAGCCGAGGAAUGUGAGGUUCAUCUAGAGAGUUCUUGUGAAUUUUCCAAGGGAGGCACCUGUUGAAUUCAGGCAUCGGCAUGUGACUUGAUUUGGUCAAUGAAAUGUGAGAGAAGUGACAUCCACUUUGAGGCAGGCACUUUCCGAGUUGCCCCGACGGCCACUCUCCAUACUGCUGCCAGAAGAACCUUGAAAUAUCGCUCUUUUUAAUUAAAAAGCAAAACUCUUCAAAAAAAAAAAAAAAAAA
RNAcentral lists this long non-coding RNA (477 nucleotides) under Homo sapiens (human). RNAcentral's name for it is "prostate cancer associated transcript 29, transcript variant 2 (PCAT29)". The record is from RNAcentral. Lineage: Eukaryota; Metazoa; Chordata; Mammalia; Primates; Hominidae.